RNAcentral lists this ribosomal RNA (1433 nucleotides) under metagenome. Its description in RNAcentral is "bacterial LSU rRNA". It matches the Rfam family "Bacterial large subunit ribosomal RNA", at positions 1512 to 2925 of the family's 2925-position model. The record is from RNAcentral.
AAAAGGAGGUAGGCGGUGAUCUUAGGCAAAUCCGGGAUCACUUACGCCGAGCACCGAGACGAGUCCUAUGAGGACGAAGUGACUGACACCACGCUUCCAGGAAAAGCCACUAAGCUUCAGCUUAAGAAAAACCGUACCGCAAACCGACACAGGUAGGCAGGGUGAGAAUCCCAAGGCGCUUGAGAGAACUCGGGUGAAGGAACUAGGCAAAAUGGCACCGUAACUUCGGGAGAAGGUGCGCCCUUUGGUGUGGUCACGUGCGUGACUGAGCAUCGAAGGGUCGCAGUAACCUGGCCGCUGCGACUGUUUAUCAAAAACACAGCACUCUGCAAACACGAAAGUGGACGUAUAGGGUGUGGCGCCUGCCCGGUGCUGGAAGGUUAAUUGAUGGGGUCAGCCGCAAGGCGAAGCUCUUGAUCGAAGCCCCAGUAAACGGCGGCCGUAACAAUAACGGUCCUAAGGUAGCGAAAUUCCUUGUCGGGUAAGUUCCGACCUGCACGAAUGGCGUAACGACAGCGGCGCUGUCUCCACCCGAGACUCAGUGAAAUUGAAAUCGCUGUGAAGAUGCAGCGUUCCCGCGGCAAGACGGAAAGACCCCGUGAACCUUUACUAUAGCUUUACACUGAACGUUGAGUUCUUCUGUGUAGGAUAGGUGGGAGGCUAUGAAACCAGGACGCUAGUUCUGGUGGAGCCAUCCUCGAAAUACCACCCUGAAGUGCUUGACGUUCUAACCUAGGCCCGUAAUCCGGGUCAGGGACCGUGUAUGGUGGGUAGUUUGACUGGGGCGGUCUCCUCCCAAAGAAUAACGGAGGAGCACGAAGGUACGCUCAGCGCGGUCGGACAUCGCGCACUGUGUGCAAAGGCAUAAGCGUGCUUGACUGCGAGAUCGACGGAUCAAGCAGGUACGAAAGUAGGUCUUAGUGAUCCGGUGGUUCUGUAUGGAAGGGCCAUCGCUCAACGGAUAAAAGGUACUCCGGGGAUAACAGGCUGAUACCGCCCAAGAGUUCAUAUCGACGGCGGUGUUUGGCACCUCGAUGUCGGCUCAUCACAUCCUGGGGCUGUAGCCGGUCCCAAGGGUAUGGCUGUUCGCCAUUUAAAGUGGUACGCGAGCUGGGUUCAGAACGUCGUGAGACAGUUCGGUCCCUAUCUGUCGUGGGCGUUGGAGAUUUGAGGGGGGCUGCUCCUAGUACGAGAGGACCGGAGUGGACGUUCCGCUGGUGUUCGGGUUGUCAUGCCCAUGGCAUUGCCCGGUAGCUACGAACGGAAGUGAUAACCGCUGAAAGCAUCUAAGCGGGAAGCACGCCCCAAGAUGAGAUCUCCCGAGAGCUUGACUCUCCUAAGGCACCAUCAAGACUAGGUGGUUGAUAGGUCAGGUGUGGAAGCGCAGCAAUGCGUUGAGCUAACUGAUACUAAUGAGCCGUGAGGCUUGACCG